This is a long non-coding RNA of Lolium perenne, 891 nucleotides long. RefSeq lists it as uncharacterized. The record is from RefSeq and is a predicted model, not a curated record. NCBI's taxonomy places the organism in Eukaryota, Viridiplantae, Streptophyta, Magnoliopsida, Poales, Poaceae.
UUGACCAGGAAUCGCCCCAUUCCCCUCUUCUCUCUCCCCUGCAUCGCUCUCCUCCUCCAUCCCCAGCGAAAAAUUUGUCUCCUCGGCGGCCAGAGAUCCAGCAGGGUGGUGCAUCUAGCCACGGGGAUGGUUGUCCUAGUUUAUUGGAGAAGUGGCGGAGGAGCGCCGACGGCGCCGACGCGCGGAUCGGAGCGAGCAAUGGUGAGAGGGCUCGACGAGAGGGGCAUCGGCGGCACAGACUCGCGGAUCUAAGCACCCGUGUUGAGAGUGGACGGCGGAGGAGGAUUGGCGGCAGGGUGCUGCAUCCGAGCCCUGCCAAACUUGGGUCUAUUUUUGGUUGCCAGAAUGAGACCACGCACGUAUCCAAUCAAUGGAUCAGGGAAGAAAACAAUGACGCGGACAGCCUUGAGAUGGUCUGCAGCUGCGUGUAGCAGGUCUUCCAUGGCCUGCAUGCCAGCGGCGACGCUGAGCAGGUCUUGAAGGCGCGCCGCCGGCUGCCGGGAGAGGCAGAGAAGAAUGAUCCCAAUAUGGCGGCCUGGCAGCGUGAGGGAAGGGAAGGUGGCGUACGGCUGGCCGGCAGUCCCUAACCUUAGCUCGUAGAUGCUGGUCGCGUGGCCGAAGCUGUCUGACUGUAAUUUUUCGACAGGUUCAGUAUGUUUUAUCUGUUUGUAUUGCCUCAGCGGGAUGUAUUAUCAUUGUUAAAAUGUGCAAGAGGUUGUUCAUAUGGAUGUUGUUUUAUACUUGUAUCGGAUGUAUUUUUCCUAGUUCACAUGGUCAAAUUAUACAUCAGAAUGAUCGAAUAUUCCUUUACAGCCAAAGGAUGUACUUAUCUUUGUCAGGAUGUAGUUAUUGUACAUUUUUUACAUCAUGGAUAAAGCUCACAUUAUUAUA